UCAAUCCAGAGCAGUGUUUUCU
This 22-nucleotide microRNA is filed under the name Ornithorhynchus anatinus (platypus). Its description in RNAcentral is "oan-miR-1422i-5p". Lineage: Eukaryota; Metazoa; Chordata; Mammalia; Monotremata; Ornithorhynchidae. The record is from miRBase by way of RNAcentral.